CCCCAUCCAAAAGAAUAACGUAAUAAAAUGGUGACUUUGUGAACCGAAGAGAAGAUUAUGAAAAGACUCUAUGCAUAGAAAAUUGCACUUUUCAUUUUUUAUAGUCAACUUCACUUUUCUCCCUUUUCUAAGCAUGCUUGAAUGUUCCUUUAGAUUCCAUAAAUCAACAAAGACCUCAUUUUUUCUUGAUACCUAUUAAACUAUGAUCUUCCUUAUCUUGAAUGUUUUUUCUACUUUUGUUAGUAUGCAUUGAAUGAUAUGCGAAAAAACACAUGUAUAAUAUCUAAUACAAGCUAUUAAACAUAUAUUUAAUGUUUUAGAAGACUUUUGUUUUGUAUUUAUUUAAUUUCUUUCUAAUAAUAAAAUGUCCGAGAAAGGUGUCCAGUACUAAUUCUAUACUGCUUAUCAGUUAAUUGUGGAGGGUUUUGAAUUGGAAACUAUGGUGGUAAAAGCUCUAGUUCGGAUACAUGAGAUCAAGGGUUGACCUAGGGUUGAUAUUAUCAACUAUUAUCCGAGUAAUUGGAUAUUGUUUUUUGAUCCUUUUGUAUAUUAAUUAUUUGUAGACCUAGAACAAGCGAAAAGAAUCUGAAAAUGGAAGAUUCAAGUUCGUCGGGUAUUCAAAUGUUGAUUCGAGGUAGGUGAUAAUUGUGAUUGUGUGAUGUAUGUUUGUUCAUUAUUCAUUACGAGACUUGUAUAUAUAUAUAUGAAUGUUGCAUUAUUGAUCACACUUGUUGUAAAAGAGAUAGAUGAAUGUCUAUAUGCAUGGAUCACUUCUUGAUUGUAUAACUUGAGAGUGUAUUUGUGUUUGUGAUUGUGGUGUGUUGACGGAUUGGAUUGCCACAUUAUGGCAUAACUAACUAGGAUCAGAUUGUCAUGUACUGACAUAAUGAUGAGAUCAUAUUACGACAAACCUAAAUAGGAUCACAUUGCCAUAUUCUGGCGUAACUAUGGGAUCGGGUACCACUUUCUGGUAUGCUAAUUGUUUGGGUUUGAAUUUGAUGAAUCCUCAAAUCGGACUCAUCUAGGGCCUUAUUUUAAUGAAAGAGUGUCCUCAAUUUGUGUAUUUUAUCUCAAUAUCUGAUAAAAACUUUUAAGUUUCAGGUAUUUGGGGAUUUUGUAGGAGCAUUGACAUUUAAGUGCUAAAAUAGAAGAAAACAACUGAAGAUUCAAAGUGCGCAUCACCAAGCACACUUGGCGAUACGCCAUAUAGCAAAGUUUUUCCUUCUGCUACAACAAGUGAGCCUUGAAGGAAGUGGAUCAAAAUGUGACAAAAAGAAGCAGUCGAUGCUUUGCCAAAUAGUUCUCCGAAGUAGAGUUAUUUUUCCCAACCAAACCGCAUGCAUGGAUAUUGAGGCAAGAACAAACGGCGACAAACCAAAGAAAGGGCUAGUCACCUAAUCGCUCGGUGAUUCACGACUAAAAACGACGAAUGGAUCCACCAUCACUAAAUCUGAAGUCUAUAAAUACUGAAAUCUUUUAUUGUUAAAAGAAAAUUUUAGAGUGUAAAAAAUAUAUACUUUUUAUUUUAGAAACUUUAUUCUUAAUUUGUCUCUCAAAUUUGGAGAGGGUUUUGAGGAAGCUUGAAGAAGAAGUUCUUCUUCCAAUCUUGGAAGUGGGUCUUCUCCAUUUACCUUCGUUUGCUAUUUUUUAGGUUUAAUAUCUUAUACCCACUUGAUUCCUUUAUCAUUUUAAGUAUAUUUAAUUAAUGUUUGAUGUGUGUCUAAAAACCCCCAUUCUUGGAGUGUGAUUUAGCAAAUGUGUGUUGAUAUUACAAUUAAGUCUUGCUUGCUUAUACGAUUAGAUGUAUUGUAAUGGUGAUUUAACGUAGUGCUUGUGGUUUAAUUUAAUUGUUUUUAGUUUUAAAAUAAAAGAGCAUUCAUGUAUUUUCGGAUUGCCCAAAAGGGAGGUUACAAAACAAGGACCACUAGAUUGAUGGGCUAAGGAGUAAUUCGAAAUAAGGUUCAGCCCGAGAAGGUAAUCCCUACUCCCUUAUCCAAGCACCCUCAAUCAAAUGGUCAGGGUGUGGGUAAGGCAUAUGUUGGUUGUUUUAGACGAGUGGUUUCCGACAUGAACCCAUUUUAUAUGGUCUAAGUUUCCCGAGAGGGAACUUAAAUUUACCUAAAGCAUAGCCUAGUAACCAUUGUCUAAUGAAUUUUCAUAUAAAAAGCAUGUACACUUUUUUUGUGUCAACAUAUAUUGCGGUCACACCUCAAGAGAUCUCUCCCAUACUUAUUUUGUCCUUUAUUGUUUCUAUUCUAUUACUUGUGACAAAACUCUUUUUUCUUGUUAUUUGACACUUUGGUGUCACAAAUUGAAUCUAAUUUGUGUUUAACUCGAAAAUGGUCUUGAGCUAUCACUAUUUAGAACGGAAUUCUAAGUAGCCACUAAUUUCAUUACCACUCCGUUGGGACACAACUCCAACACUUGGUUGGGUUACUUUACUAGCUUCGAUUCGUAAACACUCAAACAUUAGGUUAGUGUCGUUGAUCACGAAAUGUAACACUCCGAAAUUCCAUGACCUAAUAUAGAGUCUCACAUGAUGAACUAAUACUUGUAAAAGUGUUUAUAGACCUAAGACAAUGUAUUAAAAAUAUUUGGGAAGUGUUAAAGUAAAAACGUCAAGAAACGUCCAUGACGUUUGGUGAAAUGUGAACUAGUGUGUUUUUACAUAUUUCAUGGGGUUUUAAGAGUCGGAAUUAAUGAAAAUGAGUAAAAUGUGUUAAACAUAUAGAAGAGUGUGUUUAGGAUCAAACGUCAGGGUACGACUUCUCAAGGAUCAUCCAAAGGGUCCUUGGAGAGGACCCUUGAAUUUGACCAAAAGCUGUCAAAUGGACAGUGGCGAAAGGACAGAAAAAAGGAUUAGUCGUUGAUGGGUCAACGGCUCGUCGAUGGAGUUAUAGGUCCAGCCUAAGCCAAUUAAUCAAAAUUGUCAAAAUAACCAGUCUUUGUCCCAAACCACGGACAAGCAGGACGGUCCGUGGUCCAGUCGACGGCCUGUAGGCCGGGUCUCGUCAAUCCGGGUCGAGUUUGACAAUCAAAUUUUAUGUUAAGGGACUUAAUUAUUUAGUUGGUUAAUUAAUGGUUAAGGGAGGUUUAAUUAAGUCAGUUGAGGGACUAUAUAAGACCUAAACCUCAUUACACUAACCUAACACCCCCACAAUUCCCAAACACAAAUUCUCUCCAACUUCUCUCUUCUUUCUCUCUCUAGUGCAACACCCCAUUGAAGAACAAUUCAAAGCUCGUGUAGGAAUUCAACACUUCACCUUUUCUCCAUCAAACACUAAGGAAUCCUAAUGUAUGGAAGCUCUUCACUCUUGGGAUCUCUUUCCCAAAGAGGAUCUUCAAAAAUGAUUUCAAAAGAUGUCAAAAAUAUGUGUUUCUUCUCAAUUCGUGAAUUGGAUUUAAAUUUGAUUUGAUGUUGGUUUCUUUUGAUUAUUAGUGAGGGAUUAUGAUUAUAUAUUGAUUUAUUUUUGUACUUCUAUGAUAGAAUCUAUGAAUUAAAUCUUUUACCCUAACACUACCUAUUAAUUGGACUUGUAGAUGAUUAGGAUUAUUGAGAAUUGGUUAUGUUAUUGUUUGAUUCACUCUAUUAGGAUGAUGAUGAGUGGAUUAUUGUAUAAUUGUGAUGAAUUGAGGGUGAGAUUUUUGAUGAAGGACAUGGAGGCUAUUCGGUAAGACUUUGUUAUCUUGAACUCUUUGCUUCAAUAAUGAUGGAUUAUAAUUGGUGACAAUGUUGUGCAACUGAUGUAAUAUAAUUGAUUAGAUUAAGAAGAUUAUGAUAUGAUGAAAUUUCUUGACUAUAUUAAUUUUGAGAUCAUGUUUAGGGUAUGUUGAUACAAGGUUGAAUAUGAUCCACUUGUGUGCCUUACUAUGAUAUGAUUAUAAUAUGUUGAUCUCACGAAUGAAAGGUUGUUAUGAAAGGACAUUCUCAUGUAAUACAUAAUGAGCUAAUAACAUGAUAUACAAGGGGUUAGUCUCCUAUGAUCUAUACUAAGCUGUGAUUAUUAAUAUGACUUAAAGAUAUUUCAAAAAGGGAGUUUAACUUAGCACCACAUGAACUUGAUAACGAGGGGUGUUGACUAUCCAUAGAAGGUAGAUUCACCAAGCAUUCUCAUUAGAUGAGGGUUCCAAUUGAUAAUGGUCAUGUAGAGGUUUCAAGAUAUAUCUCCUAGUUCCUUAACUAUGUUGCCUCCAUAGGAAUACUAGCUCGUGGAUCCACAUAGAAUGUUAUGUUCAUGUUUUGGUCCUACCUUGGCAAGUAGAUCACCUUCUUUUGGUGUAGGGUUUCAUAACUUGGAAUUCUAUAUUUAGCUCACAUGGUCUAUGUCGGUAAGGCGAUUAUUCCCGAAAGUAAAAUACAAGUAAUUAAGUGAACACUAGCUAGGGUGAUGUAAGGGGUUUUGACUCUACUAAUGCAUGGCACAAGUGGUCCUUUAGGGAAGUCCUAGGAGUUUGUUCUUAUGUAAUUAUGAUAUGUAUGAAUUUUAUAUGAUGACUUUACAUGCUGAUGAACCUAUAUGAUAUUAUUUUCAUUGGUGAACGUUAUUGGUGUAUAAUGAUUUACGUGCUUAUGAACAUGAAAGAUAUGAAGAUAUAUGAAAUGUUGACAUUGCUUAUGAUCCUUUACUUGGUUUACUUGACUAUGUGGGGUUAUGGGGCUUUACAUAGGCAUUGCACUUUGUAGGCUUGGGAAGGGGUUGUGAGUAAGGGUCUGAUAUAUAUGUUGUUAUCUUAUGAACUCUUGUACAUGAAUUGUUGCUAGGACAUUAUGCUGGAGUUUUUUUUAUACUUAUAUGAUCUUUAAAUGAUGUCAUUCAUGAUAAAAUGACCUUAUGUUUAUAAUACAAUGUUGACUUGACUUUGUGAUGGUAUUGGUCUUCUGUUGAAUAUGGACUUGCCUUGAGUAUUAUUUUGUCUAUUGACUUGUAUAUGAUUCAUAAGUGUGCAUAAAGGCUUUCGAAAGUGACUUAUCAUGUAUUUGAACUAAAUGUACCUUUAAGCAUGAUUUUAAUUAUUUAUGUGCAUAUGUUUCCACACUUAGUACAUGUGUUUGUACUAACCCAUACUAACCCGUAUUCUUUCCCUUUUCCCAAACAAUGUAGGUUCGGGAGAUUGAGGGGUAUCAAGGUCGCUUGCAAGAAGACAUGGACUUUUCUCCAGGUUUUUGUAGGUCCUCGAGUUCGAGGAUGGUGCCACAUACUCUACCUUAGUAGUUUCACUAUAGUAUAAAGACAUUCAUUUCUUUCCUUGUGUUGAAGAUAUUAUUAUAAGACCUAUUUGACAAUCAUGGAUUUGUAUAAGGGAUAUGCCCUAAUGUUCUAAUGAGUUUUACAUGGUUUAAUGUGAGACGAUAUUAUUAGAUUAAAUCCUUAUUUGUCGGUUAUAUUGUCUAAACGUGAAGCCUAUAUAAGCUUCAUAUGUGAGGAUCUAAGUAAACUCCAUAUGUAGUAUGUGAGAGGUCUAUGUACACCUCAAUAUGUAAAAUGUUUUAAUUUUUCCUCAUUUUAACCUAUGAUAUGUUAUGACGAAUGCUAAGAGGAUAUUCUAAGUCCUCUCCGAGAAUGAUGACGAUGUCGGUUACGUCUAAGGGGUGAUCCCCGGUGGUGACACGAAAUAUAAAAGAUACACAUAUUGAAACAUCAAAAUGGCACCACUUCCACAAAGUUUAGUUACUUCUAACUAUAGGUUUUGUUGGCACAGUUGCAUAAUAGUGGUCUAAUUACUAAAGCUACUUUGCACAAUGAUUUUCUUCUUCCGAUGUAUGAAUUUUAAGUGUCUAUCAUUCUCUAGCUUGCUGCCUGUUUCUAUUGGUAAGAUAUUUGUAUACCUUAAAUAGGAUUUGAGUGUUCAAUACUGAUGUAAAUUUGAUCGUGACUUAGCCCCUAAAUAAUAGGGAUUUUGAGACAUAAAUUAAUGUAUGUGUGUGUAUUGUACAUCCAUUUUGCUAGUUUUAUCAUUAUUUUUCAUGGAGUAUGUUUGCUAAUUGAAGCAUAUGUUCAUGCAUUGUACAUUCAGCAAGCCACAUCUGGGCAGAUUGCUUCAGGUAGAAUGCCCCUCAUUGUUUUUGUCCUCUGAAAUGUUUUUCUUUUUUUGAUACUCAGAUUGUUAAAGUGCUUCCGUUAUUUCAUAGUUUGUUGCUCAGACAAUGAAUGUUCUUUUGCUUUUUCUUUGUUUGUUGUCUAGGUUGUGAAUUUGUUCAUAAUGCAGUGUCUUUUGCAUAACAGGGUCAUUGGUAUUUUCACAUAGCUUUUUUAUGUAAUAUUUUGUUAGAGUAUGAGAAAUUGUUUGAUCUCGUGAUGUUUUUAUCAUUUUAAUUUCAUCUUUUGACUCAUUUAUUUUAUUAUUUCAUGUCAUGCGGUAUGAUUUUCAAAUAAUGCCUAUUAAAUAUUUCAAUAGGGUGAACCAUUGUGGAAAUUCGUUGAAGACACUAUUUUAUUGGAUUUGUUAUAUAAUGAUACUAGUUUGUUAAAUAUAAAUUUAGUUUUAAAGUUACGAUACUAUAGUUUGGAUUAAAAAUUAAUUUUUUUUAUAUUUGAUGAGAUGAAUUACAUUCAAUGAAGUACAUUAUAUGUUUUUUUGAAUUUUUCAAACAUCAUCACAUCGAACAGGCACUCUUUUGAUUAGAAUUUUAUUCGAUUUAUCGGUAGAAGUGCAAACUAGAUAAUUUUAUAAAUGGAUGUGGUCAUUAUUAUUUAAGGCUAAAUUUUUUUUGUUAAAGUUUGUUAAUUUUAGCAUCAAACAAAUUGAAUUUUCUAGACUAAAACAUUGGACAGUAAAUGGGGGAAACUAACAUGGUUUCAAAAGGAUAUUCUAGCCUUUAUAAUUAGCACAAAACCUAUGUCAUUAAAGAUAUGAACUUUUAGUAGCAUCUUGAUGAAAUUUACAUGCAAUCAAAAUGGACACUACAUGAACAUGAUUAUCAUAUUAAAUUUUAUUUAAAACCUUUAUUUAUGGCCACUAGAACUAAUGCGCUUUAGCAUCAAUUUAGUAGGCUUACCCGCUAUAAGAAUUGACACUACAAAAUAUAACUACUAUUUUUUUUUUGGAUUUAACAUCCAUCUAAAUUGCCACAAGCAAUUCCCACUAGAACAAAUGUGUUUUUGUGACAAUUUAGUUGGUUUUAAUUUCUAUUUAAAUGGAUGCUACAUGAGAAACCUACCUCUUUGAAUUGUAUUAUGUAGCCUUUUUAAUUGCCGAAACCAAUUGACACUAAACUUUACUUCUAAAUGGCUGCAAAAGUCUUUCCCGGCCCUUGAUACAACGGCUAAAGGGCAUUGGCUGGUAAUGGCUAUAGCAGCCAUAGUUAUGGAUGCUAAUGCCAUUUUUAAUUCCCUUAUAUCCCUUUUUGUAUUAGUGACUCUGUCCCAGGUAUGUUGGUCCACAUAUAAUUUCCUGGUAUGUUGGUCCAUAUAGAAUUUCCAAGUGGAUUGGAAAAUAGCUUAUGAGUUUGAGCUAUCAGAAGAGUUAGUUGCGGUUCAUCUGGUGUUUCAUGUCUUCGUGCUGAAAAAGUGCAUGGAUGAUCCUUCCUUCAUCAUAGCACCUGAGACUAUUGAGAUCAAAAGGCAGCAUCAGUCAAUGUAAUUUUGAGGAACUAAUUUGUUGAAGAAGCUACACGGAAAGCGAAAUUGGACAUGAAAAAACGAUAUUUGCUUCUUUUGGAAUUCGGAUAAAAUGCACACCAAGGUACUAAGUUUCUUCUUACUACUAUCUAAAUUUUGAGUAAGCAUAUUCUUUUUGUUGCAAUUGUUUGUGGAUGUAUGAACUUGAUGUUGCUACCCUAAGUCUUGUAAGAGUAACCUCAUUCCAGGAUGAAUGAUCCGAGGGGGAGACAUUUCAAAAUCUCGCAACUAAAAAGAACUAGAAAAGAGUUCAAAAUCUGAAAAUACUCAUUUUGAAAAAAAUAAGAAAAUCUGAAAAUUUUAAGUAAGUUAAAAUGUGUGUUUUGGUCAUCUUCAAAUGACCAUAACUCUCAGCUCAGGAUGUGUUAGGUGUAUUUACAAAUAUGGUUGGAAAGACCUUAGAAUAAUAUUUUCAUCCGAGUUUGCGCGAUUCUUAGUUCAGAUGAGUUAGUUAUUCCUUUCGGAAGUUGGGUUGUCGGAUUAACGAAAACCCAAUUCGAAUUUGGGAAUGACAAAGUUGUAAUCCGAAUUUGGGAAUGACAAAGUUGUAUUUUUUACCUAAUUAAGUCAAUUCAUUUAUAGGAAUAAUUGGGGUUAAAACAGAUCUUUGUUCAUUUUAGAAAAAAAAGAAUUCACGCUAGGGCUAGUGAAUCCCACAAAACUCCUAAAUUUCAUCCCAGAACUACGAUGAAACCAGUUCUUAACCACCUUGAUCUUUUGAACAUCUACAUGGCAAAAAAAUAAGACCGAUUUCAAAGAAAAUUCAUACUUGAAAAAUUUAGCAUACAAAUUUUGCUUCCCAAGAACACCCAAAUCAGUGCAAAGAAUGUUGCCAUGUUCUUCUUCACUUUUCGAAUAACCCAAAAUAUUAACAAUAAAUUCUGUCACAAACGAAUCAAGAAAUGGUUUGAACACCCCAUUCAUCAAACUCAUAAAAGUUGUAGGUGCAUUGGUAAACCCAAACGACAUAACCUAAAACUCAUUAUGUACAUAGAGAGUUCUAAACAUCGUCUUGGGAACAUCCUUAGGCCUAAUUUUCAAUUGAUGUUCGCCGUAUCUUAGAGAAACUACUGCCCCUUGCAUUGGUUAAGGAGAUCGUCUAUUCGAGGCAAGGGAUGCUUGUUCUGAAUAGUGAUUCUAUUCAAUUGGCAGUAAUCUAUACACAUUCACAUGAUACUAUCCUUCUUCUUAACAAACAAAACUGGAGCACCCCAUGUGGAAGCACUUGGGCAAAUACACACACACACACACACACACACACACACUACACACAUAGGAGAUCAAAACAAAUAAAGAAUAACCAUAGACAUUAUAUCACAUAGAGAAAGGGAACAACGAAAAUUAAAUCGAGUGGUUCUUUUGUUCAGUCAAACACACAACAACAUUCAACAUAAUAAGAAAGAUUAAAUUUAAUCUAACGGAGAAACAACUAACCAGUUAAAGCAGAAAUUUAUCUGCAAUGAAGACAAACUCAAUCAAUUAUACGAUCCGAAUACAACAAAAUCGAUUGGAGAGCCCUCUUAGAAUUCACAAGACUUUUGUUUUAAAUUUUUUCUUUAGAGUUGAGAGAGUUUCUGAUAAUUGCUAAGUGAAAGCCUCCAACUCUUUUUCUGUUGGUUAAAGCAUAUCCUAAUGAGAAUGAGUCUUUUUGUGGUUGUUAAAGCCUAUCCUAAUGAGAAUGAGGUCAUCUCUUUAUAUAGUGGAGGAGAGCGCAUGAAAUAUAUGUCAAGAAACUAAUUAGGAUCAAUAACAUAUCAUUUUCCUUAUUAAAAGAAAAAACCAAAUCAGUAAUAUUAUUUGAAAUUAUUUUUUGCUCAAUCAAAUAUACUUUUACUAAAAUUUAAUAAUUGAGAAUCAAUUCAACUUCAAUCAAGUCAAUUAUGAUCAAUUAACAUUAGUAAAUAAAAUACAAAAAAAAGAUUACCUUACCCAAGAGACGAGAAAUCUGUCCGGAUUAGCACAAUACCAUAAAAAUCACUUUAGUAUCAAUUAAUCAAUUUCAAGCAAGGAUGUAAUAAUUAUAUUAAAGGAAGAAAACACAAGUCAAAAAGUGUUAACAAAUUCGUAAAAUAAUAUUUCACGACAAGAAAAGUGAAAUAUGUCGAGGAUCAAUCUAAACUCAAGUAGCAAUCUCAAUUAUCAUAAAAAUUAUUACCACUACUACAAGUAAAAUUGCAUAAAUCAAAGGGAUUAAAUGUCAUUAUUGGAGGUAAUAAUCAACAAGGACAUCUCAAGAUAAUCGGUGAUUUCAUAACUAAACUUAACAAGUUUAACCAAGAAUCAUCUGUCUAGGUAUUGUUAAAAAUACAGGAGCAAACUUCCACACAAUAUUCUUGUGAAACAGAUCAUGAGCUAAAUGAUCAAAAGCAACAAGCACAUCAAGGAGACUAUAAUUCAACUUCUAUCACACAUACACCGUUUGUAAAAUAUGAUGGUCAUAACUAGUAGUUAAAUUUUAUGACUAAGAGAACUUCUACACCAAAAAUGCAUAGAACUUUCAUCACAUUGCAGAUAAGAAGAAGAAUGAAAUUGCUAAAAUGAGAUAAUAAUUUUAAAUGAAAUCUACCCGAACGGAUCGUCAAAUAUCCAUCUUUUGACCAUUUUGAAACAUUCGAAAGCUUUACUGUCGUUCGUCUAGUUUACUGGUUCAGAGUUGUUGUCCAGAAAUAAGAGAGGGGACAUGAGGCAAGCGACUGGCCACUGCUGCUGGUGUCGUUCAGUUGUUGGCUUCACUGGAUCACUCAGGCCGGAGUUUGCCUGGUCGCUGAUCUUCUUCACCGGCUGGCUGCCAAUUUUGUGCAGGAGAUGGUUGUUGCUGUUGUUGUUUACGAUUCGCCGGCUAGUGGUGUUGUUUCAGCCUAAUGGAGUUCCUGGUGCUGCUGCCUUCACUGGAGUCUCUUGGUUGCAUCUUUUUCGUUGCUUCUAUGGCCGGUUGCUUUUGUUUGCCUCACUGGAGAAAGGAGAGGAGAGAAACAUAGGCAGACGACUGCUGGUCUUGCCGAAACUGCUGUUUUCCUCUCCUGGCUACUAUCCACCGCCGGAAAGGGAGAGAAGGAAGGAGAGAGAGGACAAGAGGCGAGGGCAUAAAGAGAGUCGUCGGUGGAGAGAAAAGGUGGGAGAGAGGGCGGAUAGAGAGGGAGGAAAGGAGGAGUAGAAAAAUAGAAUAUUUAGG
Molecule: long non-coding RNA, 10791 nt
Filed under: Solanum lycopersicum (tomato)
Lineage: Eukaryota; Viridiplantae; Streptophyta; Magnoliopsida; Solanales; Solanaceae
Description: long non-coding RNA (SLYC_LNC001402)
Source: RNAcentral